Molecule: ribosomal RNA, 513 nt
Filed under: uncultured Gram-positive bacterium
Lineage: Bacteria
Description: bacterial SSU rRNA
Rfam family: Bacterial small subunit ribosomal RNA
Source: RNAcentral
AGAGUUUGAUCCUGGCUCAGGAUGAACGCUGGCGGCGUGCUUAACACAUGCAAGUCGAACGAAGCGAUCGGGAGAAAGUUUUCGGAUGGAAUCCGGAUUGACUGAGUGGCGGACGGGUGAGUAACGCGUGGGUAACCUGCCUCAUACAGGGGGAUAACAGUUAGAAAUGACUGCUAAUACCGCAUAAGCGCACAGGGAUGCAUGUCCUGGUGUGAAAAACUCCGGUGGUAUGAGAUGGACCCGCGUCUGAUUAGCUGGUUGGCGGGGUAACGGCCCACCAAGGCGACGAUCAGUAGCCGACCUGAGAGGGCGACCGGCCACAUUGGGACUGAGACACGGCCCAAACUCCUACGGGAGGCAGCAGUGGGGAAUAUUGCACAAUGGGGGAAACCCUGAUGCAGCAACGCCGCGUGAGUGAAGAAGUAUUUCGGUAUGUAAAGCUCUAUCAGCAGGGAAGAAGAUGACGGUACCUGAGUAAGAAGCCCCGGCUAACUACGUGCCAGCAGCCGCGGU